This 255-nucleotide long non-coding RNA is filed under the name Mytilus galloprovincialis (Mediterranean mussel). The record is from RNAcentral. Lineage: Eukaryota; Metazoa; Mollusca; Bivalvia; Mytilida; Mytilidae.
GUGUGUCAAAUUUUCAAAUUUGUUGGUCCUUUAAAUAAAUACCAUAUUAGGAUGUGUAUCAUACAUUCUUUUAAUCUGAGACAUAUAAUUGGUAGAAGAACUGUAGGCUCAGAAGACAAUUUUUUCAGAAAUGUGUAUCAUCGGUAUAAGGACAUCAUUCGUAAAUAUAGCUCAACAUGCAGACUUCUUAUACGUUCAGGUAUUUCACAUCCGAUAUUUUAUGGAAAUAUUUUUUAUAAAGCACAAAAAUGUCAG